Molecule: ribosomal RNA, 484 nt
Filed under: uncultured bacterium
Lineage: Bacteria
Description: partial 16S ribosomal RNA
Rfam family: Bacterial small subunit ribosomal RNA
Source: RNAcentral
AUUGAACGCUGGCGGAAUGCUUUACACAUGCAAGUCGAGCGGCAGCGCGGCCUUCGGGCUGGCGGCGAGCGGCGAACGGGUGAGUAAUGCAUCGGAACAUGCCCAGUCGUGGGGGAUAACACUUCAAAAGAAGUGCUAAUACCGCAUACGUCCUGAGGGGGAAAGCGGGGGAUCGCAAGACCUCGCGCGAUUGGAGUGGCCGAUGUCAGAUUAGCUAGUUGGUGGGGUAAAGGCCUACCAAGGCGACGAUCUGUAGCUGGUCUGAGAGGAUGAUCAGCCACACUGGGACUGAGACACGGCCCAGACUCCUACGGGAGGCAGCAGUGGGGAAUUUUGGACAAUGGGGGCAACCCUGAUCCAGCCAUUCCGCGUGAGUGAAGAAGGCCUUCGGGUUGUAAAGCUCUUUCGGCAGGAACGAAACGGUGGGCUCUAACAUAGUCCGCUAAUGACGGUACCUGAAGAAGAAGCACCGGCUAACUACGUG